CAGGAACCAGUGAGAGGUCCCCCACUCUUCUUUGAUCCGUCUGAGGGCCGAGUGGCAGCCUCGACCCGAGCAGAAAUGCGAUGUGUCUGGAUACUCGGGAUCGUAAAUGGAUUUGGGCACCAUUCUGAUCGCCUUUCUUUGGGUGGUAUAUCGCCUCUAAAAGUCCAAGAGGGUAGUAGGGGAUCUAUAUAG
This 192-nucleotide ribosomal RNA is filed under the name Triticum aestivum (bread wheat). RNAcentral describes it as "partial small subunit ribosomal RNA". Lineage: Eukaryota; Viridiplantae; Streptophyta; Magnoliopsida; Poales; Poaceae. The record is from RNAcentral.